RNAcentral lists this unclassified non-coding RNA (209 nucleotides) under fungal sp. RNAcentral describes it as "partial internal transcribed spacer region". The stretch from base 1 to 46 matches the Rfam family "Eukaryotic small subunit ribosomal RNA", at positions 1786 to 1831 of the family's 1831-position model. The record is from RNAcentral. Lineage: Eukaryota; Fungi.
AAGUCGUAACAAGGUCUCCGUUGGUGAACCAGCGGAGGGAUCAUUACCGAGUCUCGAACUCCCAAAACCCCCUGUGAACCGUACCGACGUUGCCUCGGCGGGCCGCCCGCGCCCGCCGGAGGACCCCAAGGCUCCCGCUUCCGCCGCGUCUGCCCUCUGAGUGACGAAGAAAUGAGUCAAAACUUUCAACAACGGAUCUCUUGGUUCUG